GUUCAGAGCGAGGGCAACCGGGUAGCGUUGAUGGGUGGGUCUUGCGCGGCAGGAGCCUGCGAACCAGGUCAGGUCCGGAAGGAAGCAGCCUUAAGUGGUCCCUCCUGGGUGCCGCAAGGUUGCCUGGCCGGAGCUACUCGGUUGCCGUCGCCCUGAGC
This 158-nucleotide signal recognition particle RNA is filed under the name Anaerolineales bacterium. Its description in RNAcentral is "signal recognition particle sRNA large type". It matches the Rfam family "Bacterial large signal recognition particle RNA", at positions 82 to 232 of the family's 256-position model. Rfam says of the family: The signal recognition particle (SRP) is a universally conserved ribonucleoprotein involved in the co-translational targeting of proteins to membranes. Lineage: Bacteria; Bacillati; Chloroflexota; Anaerolineae; Anaerolineales. The record is from RNAcentral.